GAUGAACGCCGGCGGUGUGCCUAAUACAUGCAAGUCGUACGCACUGGCCCAACUGAUUGAUGGUGCUUGCACCUGAUUGACGAUGGAUCACCAGUGAGUGGCGGACGGGUGAGUAACACGUAGGUAACCUGCCCCGGAGCGGGGGAUAACAUUUGGAAACAGAUGCUAAUACCGCAUAAGACCACAGCACCGCAUGGUGCAGGGGUAAAAACUCCGGUGGUAUGAGAUGGACCCGCGUCUGAUUAGGUAGUUGGUGGGGUAACGGCCUACCAAGCCGACGAUCAGUAGCCGACCUGAGAGGGUGACCGGCCACAUUGGGACUGAGACACGGCCCAA
This 336-nucleotide ribosomal RNA is filed under the name uncultured bacterium. Its description in RNAcentral is "bacterial SSU rRNA". It matches the Rfam family "Bacterial small subunit ribosomal RNA", at positions 28 to 334 of the family's 1533-position model. The record is from RNAcentral.